UUUGGCACAUGUUAGGCCGGC
This 21-nucleotide microRNA is filed under the name Heligmosomoides polygyrus. RNAcentral describes it as "hpo-miR-5983-3p". Lineage: Eukaryota; Metazoa; Nematoda; Chromadorea; Rhabditida; Heligmosomidae. The record is from miRBase by way of RNAcentral.